This 523-nucleotide ribosomal RNA is filed under the name uncultured bacterium. RNAcentral describes it as "bacterial SSU rRNA". It matches the Rfam family "Bacterial small subunit ribosomal RNA", at positions 1 to 525 of the family's 1533-position model. The record is from RNAcentral.
UAGAGUUUGAUCAUGGCUCAGAUUGAACGCUGGCGGCAUGCUUUACACAUGCAAGUCGAACGGAGUUAAGGGGCUUGCUCCUUAAUUUAGUGGCGAACGGGUGAGUAAUAUAUCGGAACGUACCCGGCAAUGGGGGAUAACGUAGCGAAAGUUACGCUAAUACCGCAUAUGCCUUGAGAGGGAAAGCAGGGGAUCGAAAGACCUUGCGUUGUCGGAGCGGCCGAUAUCGGAUUAGCUAGUUGGUGGGGUAAAGGCUCACCAAGGCGACGAUCCGUAGCGGGUCUGAGAGGAUGAUCCGCCACACUGGGACUGAGACACGGCCCAGACUCCUACGGGAGGCAGCAGUGGGGAAUUUUGGACAAUGGGCGAAAGCCUGAUCCAGCCAUGCCGCGUGAGUGAAGAAGGCCUUCGGGUUGUAAAGCUCUUUCGGACAGAAAGAAAUCCUAUCCGCUAAUACCGGGUGGGGAUGACGGUACUGUAAGAAGAAGCACCGGCUAACUACGUGCCAGCAGCCGCGGUAAUA